GCUCAGAUUGAACGCUGGCGGCAGGCCUAACACAUGCAAGUCGAGCGGUAACGGGGGGUGCUUGCACCCCGCUGACGAGCGGCGGACGGGUGAGUAAUGCAUAGGAAUCUGCCCGAUAGUGGGGGAUAACCUGGGGAAACCCAGGCUAAUACCGCAUACGUCCUACGGGAGAAAGGGGGCUUCGGCUCCCGCUAUCGGAUGAGCCUAUGUCGGAUUAGCUGGUUGGUGAGGUAAAGGCUCACCAAGGCGACGAUCCGUAGCUGGUCUGAGAGGAUGAUCAGCCACAUCGGGACUGAGACACGGCCCGAACUCCUACGGGAGGCAGCAGUA
This 330-nucleotide ribosomal RNA is filed under the name uncultured bacterium. RNAcentral describes it as "bacterial SSU rRNA". It matches the Rfam family "Bacterial small subunit ribosomal RNA", at positions 22 to 356 of the family's 1533-position model. The record is from RNAcentral.